AGUGAACGCUGGCGGUAGGCCUAACACAUGCAAGUCGAACGGCAGCACAGUAAGAGCUUGCUCUUACGGGUGGCGAGUGGCGGACGGGUGAGGAAUACAUCGGAAUCUACUUUUUCGUGGGGGAUAACGUAGGGAAACUUACGCUAAUACCGCAUACGACCUACGGGUGAAAGCAGGGGAUCUUCGGACCUUGCGCGAUUGAAUGAGCCGAUGUCGGAUUAGCUAGUUGGCGGGGUAAAGGCCCACCAAGGCGACGAUCCGUAGCUGGUCUGAGAGGAUGAUCAGCCACACUGGAACUGAGACACGGUCCAGACUCCUACGGGAGGCAGCAGAGGGGAAUAUUGGACAAUGGGCACAAGCCUGAUCCAGCCAUACCGCGUGGGUGAAGAAGGCCUUCGGGUUGUAAAGCCCUUUUGUUGGGAAAGAAAAGCAGCAGGUUAAUACCCCGCUGUUCUGACGGUACCCAAAGAAUAAGCACCGGCUAACUUCGUG
This 492-nucleotide ribosomal RNA is filed under the name uncultured bacterium. Its description in RNAcentral is "partial 16S ribosomal RNA". It matches the Rfam family "Bacterial small subunit ribosomal RNA", at positions 29 to 507 of the family's 1533-position model. The record is from RNAcentral.